AGAGAGAGUCAGAGUGGAAUAAACUCAGACGGUGAGGACACACAGACCGCAGAAUCACAACCAUGAAUGCUGUAAAUGCUGUGCAACUGUUCAUUCUGGUUUGGACCUUUACUGCUGUCUGUCAAGCUGAUAAAGAUUUAAGUGUAAGCUGUGAUGAUGUGAUUGGAUCUGUGGGGAAAGAAGUACAUCUCACCUGCAGCGUCUCACUGCAGUGCCCUAAUUGUUCCAUUCAAAUGUGUAAGUUUCGAUACCCUGAGAGCUUCAAAGACUCAACAAUCUGUAAAGAAGAGCCUCCUGUGAACUCCUGUGAUCAGAGAAACAGCUUCACAUGCCGCUACACUCCAAAUACAACAAUGACAGAAAAAUUCAGUUUCUUUGUGCAAACAAACUGUGGAAGGAAAACAACAAAAUUCACUGUGGACAUAGCAGGGCCCACUACACCUGAAACUGUUUCUGGAGCUCCUGGCGAGCAAGCGGAAGUCAAGAUCAUGAACGCAUCAGGACGAUCAGCACCAGACACAGCAGCAGGUCACAAAUCUAAGGUUUCUGUCAUCGCUGCAGCUGUGGGCUGCUUCAUCCUCAUCAUCAUCAUAAUGACAAUCAUUCACUACAAGAAAUCAAUCUUCACCAAACCUUGUGAAUUCCAGGAUGUUUCUGUGCAUCAAAUAUGAUGAAGACAACAGUAAUUGUCCAGAAAAUGUGGUAUAAUAGCAUUGACUCAGCAGUACGAGUUAUCAUGUGGUGCUCAUGAAACACACAGCUUUAUUUGAACUCCAGCAAACUCCAUACUCUACUAUCUGUUAAUGAAUAUAUAACUCUGGCUGUUGGUUUAAAACUAAAACUUCAAUUUAUAUUAAUUUCUGUGA
Molecule: long non-coding RNA, 866 nt
Filed under: Sinocyclocheilus grahami
Lineage: Eukaryota; Metazoa; Chordata; Actinopteri; Cypriniformes; Cyprinidae
Description: lncRNA (ENSSGRG00000004549.1)
Source: RNAcentral